UGACGGCGGCGUUACUGGGCCAAUAAUUGAGCUGCUGCAGCUGGCGCUGCAGAUCGAUAAUCUCGGUCUGGCUCAGGUUCGGUGUCGGAGCCGUUGCC
RNAcentral lists this transfer RNA (98 nucleotides) under Halomicronema hongdechloris C2206. RNAcentral describes it as "tRNA-Cys". The record is from RNAcentral. Lineage: Bacteria; Bacillati; Cyanobacteriota; Cyanophyceae; Nodosilineales; Nodosilineaceae.